This 376-nucleotide ribosomal RNA is filed under the name uncultured bacterium. RNAcentral's name for it is "bacterial SSU rRNA". It matches the Rfam family "Bacterial small subunit ribosomal RNA", at positions 28 to 404 of the family's 1533-position model. The record is from RNAcentral.
GACGAACGCUGGCGGCGUGCUUAACACAUGCAAGUCGAGCGGUAAGGCCCUUUCGGGGGUACACGAGCGGCGAACGGGUGAGUAACACGUGGGUGACCUGCCCUCAGCUCUGGGAUAAGCCUGGGAAACCGGGUCUAAUACCGGAUAUGACUCCAUGACGCAUGUUGUGGGGUGGAAAGCCUUGUGCGGCUGAGGAUGGGCCCGCGGCCUAUCAGCUUGUUGGUGGGGUGANGGCCUACCAAGGCGACGACGGGUAGCCGGCCUGAGAGGGCGACCGGCCACACUGGGACUGAGACACGGCCCAGACUCCUACGGGAGGCAGCAGGUGGGGAAUCUUGCGCAAUGGGCGAAAGCCUGACGCAGCGACGCCGCGUGA